This is a non-coding RNA of Xyrichtys novacula (pearly razorfish), 6765 nucleotides long. The record is from the annotation of a GenBank genome assembly. Lineage: Eukaryota; Metazoa; Chordata; Actinopteri; Labriformes; Labridae.
AUUUUUUGUGUUUUUCUCGUAUAUUUUGCACUUCAGUUUCCUUCACUACAAUGCUAGUAGCCAACGGGUCAAAUAGUAAAUUUCCGACUUCCGACAAGCUAAUGCUAACAUUAGCUUGACCGAGAUUCAAUGUGCAUUGCAGACUAUCAUGAUAAAUGGAUAGGGAAAAAUGUCAUAAAUGGAGCCUGUCACAUUUACAUUUAUUUCAAAUUCAAGAAAAAACUAUAUUAUCUAUUACUAUUUAAAAAAAAUUGAUUCACGUUUGAUAUUCGAUCAUAACGUCGCUUCAUUCAAGCCAAUAACUUUUGAGAAAGGAGCAGUGGUUGAAAAUAGUCAACUUUUCUGUGCAGUUUAAUAUAAAAUUAAAAGAUGCCACUCUGAAACUCGAAAUACAAACAUAAAGUGAUAACACAAGCCAGUUUGCUAAAAUAAUUUUUUAAAGUCUGGCAUCAUCCUCUUUUUCAACCACAGCGAGUCUCUUUUAACCUGCGUCUUAACGAGCUAAAUAGCGUACACAUUAAAUGUAAAGAUUUUCAUUCCAUGCUGGAAACGUAAGUGUUCAUUUUAAACACAUUCGAGGUAUGAAGAUACCGUAGUUCAUGAAGAGAAUGGAGAGGGGAAUUAAUGAGCCGGGGUGCGUUGUGCCCGGAUGACUUUCUGGAGGGACCGCCCCCUCCUCGGAGACAAUUCGGGAAGGAAAUGGAUGGCUCGGGUGUCCAUCUUGCUGAUCUUUUCAAAUAUGUUUUUCAGGUUUGUACGCUGAGAAGUCCACAAAAUUAUACCCUUACAUUUAAACAAUGUUAAAUUAAACGUAGCGCGAGUUUGAAGUGUGUUGUUGACGGACUGUAGCUUGUUAUUCGAACUUAGAAAGAAAGCUAAAAAUAGCGCCGCCGUUUAGCGCGGGAAGCGAUCAUUCUACAACGUACCGCGAGAUUUGAGAUCACUGUUAGCAUUAAGAUUUGCUUCUCCAAACAUUAUAUUUAAAGCAAGAUCCCUUGACACUUGACAUACAAACUAAUAUUACUUGUUUUGGUGUGAACAAGAUUUUUAUACGAUUCAGGAGUAAGGUUAUUGGGGUAUGUUGUUAUAGUGAGAAAAAUUGUUUGUGUUCCUUGUGGGUUGAAACUCAACUGUUGUUGAGAAUAAGAAAUAUUUCCUUUGCAAGAUGUUGUACAGUUUUGAUAAAUGCAGUUUUAUAUUGCAGCAAAAGGUUUAUUGUACAGCUUUACUGUUUUCUGGCAUCCUGUUGAUUUGUAUUGAUUCGUGUGCUUUGUAUGAUUUGACAAAACCUGAAGAAGUUUUCUACAAUUCAUUGUUAACUUUUGAGAAGAACUUAGUGAAUGUUGAAGAUAUGAGAAGCCAUAUGAAUCGGACUUUAUUAAAGAAACAUGGACACUCUUACUAUGGACAUCCUAAUACAGACACUCCUGCACAGAGUAACGUUUUAUAUGUUUUUAAAUGUGUUUUUUAGUUCUGUAAUAAAAAAUGACAACUCGGGAAGAAAAUGAACGGCUCGGGUCUCCAUCUUAACGAUCUUUUCAACUGUGUUUUUCAGAUUAAGAGGUGCUGAACCAAAAAUCAUUUUUUACAGUAAAACUCAUCUUAGAAAUCUGUAACAUAAACAACUUAGGCUAUGUUCACACUGCAGGUCAAUUCUGAUUUUUUAACCAUAUGUGACACAUAUCUGAUUUUCUCACGUAAGUGUGAACAGUGAAAUUCUGAUUUUUUUCAAAUCCGACCUAGGCCUCUUUUGUAUGGUGAUAUAAAGUGGAUAUGUAUCUGAUAUGACUGCCGUGUGGACAUUCAGGUCGCGUUCAUCCAACCUUUACGUCAUCAAUAUGCGACAAACGGCGCCAUUGUUCGACAACACAAACAGGCGUGGAAAGCAAUUUGUGCGCAUGCGGGUCACUUCACGUAUGCAUUAAGUUCACAUUAGAUGCCGCAUUCAUUAUUGUAAUGUGAACGACCGCACAAAAAGAUCGGAUUCAACAAAAAAUCCGAAUUGUGCACCAUAACCUGCAGUGUGAAUGUAGCCUUAGUAGCCUAACAGACGUUUUCUCACCUGUAGAUGUUACAGCUAGCUGUUUCCAUGGGAGCCAUUACGACGGCUGCGCCAAAAUGGUGCAAGAUGACAGCAUGUUAAAAAAAAAAAAAGAUUCAAUAACAGGGAAACCAUGGCCAGUCAAAAAGCAACACAAUAGUUUAAACAUUUUCCAUACAGGGUUAACCAGUGAUAGGAUAUAAUGUUCAACAGUGAAUAUAAGAGGUUGUUAGCUUUUCAUUGCUAGCUGCCCCCACCCGCUUCCAUGCCAACUGUUAACUCAGCAUAAAUGCUGCAACAGUAGCCUCCCUGUGUAAAACAAUAAUCAUAGCAGCUCCUAAAAGUCAAGAUAAAUGUAUUUCACACACAAGAUAUUGACCAUUGCAUGCAAGAAAUUAACUUUUUAAACUUUUAAGUGAUUUGUAUCAUGCACACAGGUUUAUUAUACAAGAUAAUUAUAUUUUUAGGACAAAAUCGUAGCUUGUUCUUAUAAGAAACUUCUGUUGUAUACACUGCACAAUAAUAAAUGCACAUGUUCUAGUUUAGCACAUUUUCACACCUUGUCCAAACACCCAAGUUACUCAUGCUUUUUAGAUGACUUUAUAUGUCUACUGGGUGUGUCUGGUGUCUUUUAAACUUGAUGAUACAUUCCCCUCAAGCAUAAUCAAGGUCCCUAUGACGAGAGGAUUUAGCAACAUAUUAAUCAUCAGAGUUACUCAUAUUUUGUCCUGCAACAUGCUCGUGGCACCCAGGCUCUCUCAGAUUAGAAUUUCAAAGAUAAGUGGACACUGGCUUUGAUAGUGUGUCUGAGCCUCUUCACCUUUCCUCUGCCCUCAGUCUUCUCACUAAUGAAAUCUUAAAAUAACCUGCCUGCUGCUGGCAAAAGUAGGUCAGAGCACCAAUGCGAAGCCAAUUCAAGACAAAAGCAUCAAGUAGUGCAUUGUGGGUAUUUCCCCCUGUGGUAGAAUUGAGGUGGGGGCCGGUGUAUGCAUGCUGGUGGAUGCCUGUUCUUGUCUUUUUUUUUUCCUGCAGAGGCUGAGGUGGCUGGUGGAGCAGUCAACAACCGUUUCCAUUAGCACACAGUCAGAACUUCAUCGACUUUUUACUGUGAGGUAAAAUACAAACGGACGUGUUUGUGUUCUUCAAGCUCAUGCAUAUUGCUUGUGUUUAUUUGGUGCACCCAUCUACUAAUAGUAAACAGCAUUGUUCAUUCCUGUCAUCUUUUGUUUUUGUUGUCAGACAGAUCAUGCUGACCCCAACACAACUACAUCUACUGCAGCUGAUAUGAUUCAGUCUGAUUGGUUAAGGGUAAGAAGCUUCUCCAUCUGUGGACCCUGUGCAUGUGGUUGGAGACUUGAGAAUUUUGUCUUUCAGAUUUAACAAUCACAGAGAAUGAGAAGUAUUUAUCGAUCGAUUCCUUUGUGAUUUAUCAAUAGCUGGAAAGGCAAUAUGCAUUUUCACCAUAUUGACUCACAGGCAGCUGGAAGACAUUUUCACAACAUUAGCACCUUGUAGCUUCCUAAAAGUGUAAAUAUGUGUAAAAUCAAUAACUUCCAUCAAAUGCUAAUACAAGCUUGCCUAAAGCUAAAUCACAGUUAUUGGUUUUAUACCAAAACAAGCUGUUGCCUAACAGUAACUUAUGGGCUUUUAGUUUUUAGUGUUUUAACUUGUAAUAUGGCAUGGCAUCCCUCUGGAUUUUUUCAUCCAUUGUCCAUGUUGUUGGAGAAAUAAAAUUAACUCUUGUCACUAAUCAAUCUUAAUAUAGUUAAAGCUCCUGUGAGGAAUUUUAGGUUUGUGUCUUUGCGUUUGCCUUUGUUGUCCUCUCUCAAAACUAUUCCAAUCAGUAAAAAUGGCCAAUGGAUGUGCUGAAAAGUAAAAUCCUAUAUCUGUUAUCUUACGUUAUAGGCACAAAAAUGAGAACUUUUGCAAAUGAUAUGGAUCAGUUGUUAAAUUAUUUGUCCAAGUUUAAAGUUAAAGGUUUGUGGGCCAUAGGAAAUUUGAAUUUUGGGGAUUUUAGAGCCGUAUUGCAAGUGUUUCUGACCAGUAACAACACAAAUACACUAAACAGGAUAUGUUUAUGUGUGCAAAAUGGUAGGACUCCCUACAAAUAUGUAACCAGAAACAAUAUUAAAGCAGCAUUAGAGCCAUCAUAGUGAUAUCAGAGGAAACUGUGUCAGUGUCACCAAGUCUGCUGAAUGGAUGGGAAAACAGAUACCCACUUACACAAUCCAUACUAGACAAAAUCCCUGUUUUCAUGUCCUUCUGUCUCUCUAAACCCUUCAAGCUGUCCAAACUGACAAAUACAUCCAGCCAAUGAUAUAAUAGCUAUUAAUGAGACUUCUCUUGGCAAUUAUAAAUUUUGCAAAAAAAAAGCAGAGAUGUUUAUCUGAAACCACAGAACCUCUCCACAAUGACAGCUUUCCUGCUAGUGCUGCUCGAUCAACAAGUCUUGAGGUAUUGCUUGUGCGCUCUCCAUCUGGCUGCUGCUGAUAAGAACUUACUGGGGGCUGCUGGAUAAUAGUCUUGCGAGCUUAAAAGCAGGAGGGCGGGAAGGGGGAGGAUGGGGGCAUAAUUUAUUCUAGGGGAAUCCAGCAAACAGGGCCCUAUAAACCGAACCAUCCUCUCCCCCCUCUGAGAACAUUUGAGCAGAAGACAGCCUCUUCCAUGUUGCCUGUAGGGGUGGGGGGUGGGGGGGGACAUCAUGCUGCUUCAGCUAUGAUUGCCUCCAGCUUGAUUUUAUUCCUGAAGAGACAAGAUGGCUGCACAAACACAUGAGGCAUAUCCAUGACCUAGCACUGCACAUGUAGAGCGCAAUAACGGAGCAAAGCGAGAGAAUAUGGUUCGCUUGUGCACUAGAGUUGAUCUAUUUCUCAGCACUGCACCUGCAAAAACCGUCUUUUUGCACUGACAUGUAGAGCUGUUAGGACCUCUAUUUUCAGGGUCAGAGACACUGACUUUUUCUGUUUGUCUGAACCCUCGGGUGUACCCAGACUGACAGGAGUGCCUCAUGGGAGAAGACAGAUCAGAAAAUGAUAAAUGGUUUUCUAUGUUUGACCAACUGUACAAUGUGCAUACUGGUCUCGUAGAGUCAAUUUUUUAUAUGUAUUCCAAAACAGCAGGAUACCAGGGUGAAAAAAUAUCUGCAUAGACAUCAGUAUAUGAAUAAGGCUUUUUUUUUUGUCAUUUCUUGCCCUGAAACCAGCAAACUCAUGUGACAGCUACGUCUGCGAAUGCAUCAUCUGGACACAGAGGAGAUGUGACGCAGACGAAUACGCAAGAUGACAGCAUGAAGGAACCCCAGACCCACCUUCAAAUCCUGUUGGUUAUUCCUUCAGUGACGCAGAACGGAGCAGACGUCGGCACAAAAAAAUAAAAAAUCAAACUGUUGAAGGAGACUGGAUUGGAGGCAGACACACAACUCUGCAUGAGAAAGCUUGACAAUGUGUUCCUGAACAUUUGCUAAGAACUGAGGAUGAUGUGUCGUGUUUCUGAGCGAGCCAAAGUACUCAUGCAUCAGCUCAGCGUCUAUUUCCUGAUGUGUCCCAGCAUGAGACGCUCUUUGAUUCCUCUGACUCAGUCACAGUUCUGUAGGUCCCUUUUUUUUUCGCAAAGAUAAUGACGGGAAAAUGUGAAAGUAAAGAAAAAAAGAUAAAUCUGAGAGUUGAAAUGGCUAAAAAGCCACUGGCCAUUAACCACCGAUCGGGGCUGUCAUAUUAUCUGGAAACACAGAUUGAUGGGAGGUUUGGCCCUAAGGGAAAUGCUUUGACUGUCUGCCUUGAUAAUAGCCUUGUACUGCCCACUGGAAGUCAGAGCUCUGUGAAAAAGAUAUGCUAUUGAGUAUGAUGGUGAAUUCAUGUCACACUCUGUCUUUGCAAGAUGAUCUUACAGCCAAGGUCUUGUCUGGUCGUAUUUUUCUCUCUCUCUUUCGGUUGGAGGGAUUCUGUCAGAUUAGAAAAAGCUUGUCUUUUCGGUAAAUUCUCUCUUAUAUGACUUAUGUUCUUGUAACAGAAGCCAGUUACACGGCGUAGGCCAACGCUCUGACUCUGUUGUUGUAACACUGUUUUGCAUCCCCAUGCACUGCCACUCCCUGUUACAUACUCGUAUAAACAUUCUGUAGAAAUGCAGAAGAAAGCAUGUGUUUUGCAUACUCUUCGGCUGAUAAUUCAAGCGUGUAAGAGAUAGGUGCAUUUUUCUUGGCUAGCUUUGAAUACCAGCUUGACCUGGGCAUGGACUUAGGUUUGCAUGUAUGUAAGAGGCUUGAAUUUAGUUUAAUUUGUGUGCUCACUUAGGUCGUUUCAUAGACUCGAGACAAGAUCAGCUGAAAAAGAGGCAGGGUACACUCUGAACAGGUCUCCAGAAAGUUAAGGAAAGAUGGAUUAAAAAAUAAAAUAUUGAAAUUAAACUGGAAUAAGUAACAAAAAAAUUCUGGCCAAUCAGGGGGCUCCUUGCAACUGGCCAAUCAGAGAGCACUACAUAUAUCCUGCUCAUCAGAAUGAUUCUUUUAAUCCUGUUUUUAUGCUUUUUUUCCUUCGAGUAAGGCCUAAUUUCCUUCUUUGGCUGUAUCUCAUUGGCUUUUCAAUUUUGUUGCAUACAUAUAAAGUCAUUUACUACAAACAAAGUUAACUUAGCUACUUAAAUCUACAUAAAUAUGCCUAACUUUUUAAAAGUGAAAUUUAACGAACUGUUUUUUUAUUGUAUAUGUAUUGAUUCCUGCCUAAAACACC